RNAcentral lists this ribosomal RNA (433 nucleotides) under uncultured bacterium. RNAcentral's name for it is "partial 16S ribosomal RNA". It matches the Rfam family "Bacterial small subunit ribosomal RNA", at positions 29 to 507 of the family's 1533-position model. The record is from RNAcentral.
AACGAACGCUGGCGGCAUGCCUAACACAUGCAAGUCGAACGAGACCUUCGGGUCUAGUGGCGCACGGGUGCGUAACGCGUGGGAACCUGCCCUUAGGUUCGGAAUAACUCCCCGAAAGGGGUGCUAAUACCGGAUAAUGUCUUCGGACCAAAGAUUUAUCGCCUUUGGAUGGGCCCGCGUUGGAUUAGCUAGUUGGUAGGGUACAAGCCUACCAAGGCGACGAUCCAUAGCUGGUCUGAGAGGAUGAUCAGCCACACUGGGACUGAGACACGGCCCAGACUCCUACGGGGAGCAGCAGUGGGGAAUAUUGGACAAGGGGCGAAAGCCUGAUCCAGCAAUGCCGCGUGAGUGAUGAAGGCCUUAGGGUUGUAAAGCUCUUUUAGCCGGGAUGAUAAUGACAGUACCGGGAGAAUAAGCUCCGGCUAACUCCGUG